RNAcentral lists this ribosomal RNA (476 nucleotides) under uncultured bacterium. RNAcentral's name for it is "bacterial SSU rRNA". It matches the Rfam family "Bacterial small subunit ribosomal RNA", at positions 30 to 504 of the family's 1533-position model. The record is from RNAcentral.
UGAACGCUGGCGGCGUGCCUAACACAUGCAAGUCGAGCGAGAAAGUCCCUUCGGGGGCGAGUACAGCGGCGAACGGGUGCAUAACACGUGAGCAUUUACCCAUUAGUGAAGGAUAACUUCGAGAAAUCGAGGCUAAUACUGCAUACGUCCCUCCGGGGAGAAAGGUGGCCUCUUUGCUGCCGCUAAUGGAUGAGCUUGCGGGCUAUCAGCUUGUUGGUAAGGUAAAGGCUUACCAAGGCUAUGACGGCUAGCCGACCUGAGAGGGUGUACGGCCACAUUGGAACUGAGAUACGGUCCAGACUCCUACGGGAGGCAGCAGUGGGGAAUAUUGCGCAAUGGGCGAAAGCCUGACGCAGCGACGCCGCGUGGAGGAUGAAGGUCUUCGGAUUGUAAACUUCUGUUAAGUGGGAAGAAAUCCUUGUUUUUAAUACAAACGAGGGAUGACGGUACCAUUAGAGAAAGCACCGGCUAACUCC